CAUUGAGAGAAUCCGCUAGAAAUAGUGGAGUGUCUGGCUUGCCAGACCUUGAAAACAGGUGCUGCACGGCUGUCGUCAGCUCGUGUCGUGAGAUGUUGGGUUAAGUCCCGCAACGAGCGCAACCCCCUUUCUUAGUUGCUAACAGGUCAUGCUGAGAACUCUAAGGAUACUGCCUCCGUAAGGAGGAGGAAGGUGGGGACGACGUCAAGUCAUCAUGGCCCUUACGCCUAGGGCUACACACGUGCUACAAUGGGGUGCACAAAGAGAAGCAAUACUGCGAAGUGGAGCCAAUCUUCAAAACACCUCUCAGUUCGGAUUGUAGGCUGCAACUCGCCUGCAUGAAGCUGGAAUCGCUAGUAAUCGCAAAUCAGCCAUGUUGCGGUGAAUACGUUCCCGGGUCUUGUACUCACCGCCCUCACAUCAUGAUGG
Molecule: ribosomal RNA, 429 nt
Filed under: Helicobacter pylori
Lineage: Bacteria; Pseudomonadati; Campylobacterota; Epsilonproteobacteria; Campylobacterales; Helicobacteraceae
Description: bacterial SSU rRNA
Rfam family: Bacterial small subunit ribosomal RNA
Source: RNAcentral